ACUUGGACCUAGCAGCAUCAAUGAGCCAGCUCCUCACUGGGGAACAUGCAAACCCCCAGCUGCUGGUGUGCAGGAAAAGAAUCCAGGAGAUCACCUGAUGAAGCCCAGCAUUUUACAGAUAGGCAGUGGAGCAGGGGAAUCCAGUUGACACUGUGGCUAAAUUUCAGAAAACCUCCCAUGAGAUCUUGCAAAGGAGAUGGAGAAAAUAUGGCUGAAUGCCAGCAAGAGCAAAGUGGUGAAAGGACCCUGGUGAGAGGCCCAAAGAACAGGAGGUGUGAGCCAAGAGAAGGUCCUGCCAGGCCUAUGUUGCAGGCUAUUUGGAGGCUGAACUUGAGGAAACUUCAGUCUUCAGUCUUAAGGCCUUCAACUGAUUGGAAGGCCCCCAGUCAGCUAGUGGGAAGACCCAUGCACAUUAGAGAGGGUAAUCUGCUUUGUUCACUGUCUACUGAUGUCAAUGUUAAUUAUCUUUAAAAAAAAAUACCUUCAACAUCUAUUUUGUUCUUUGGUCAAACAACUGGCCACCAUAACCUAGCCAAGAGAACACAUGAAAUUAACCAUCACAGAGACCCAUGAGGAUGUGUUGAUACAUUGAAUGUAUGAGAGGAAAAAAAAAAAUCUACUUUAGAGUAGUUCUGAUUUUUUUUAUCUGAACAACUGAAAUAAUUUAAUAAUUAUUGAAAUGUUAAAUGCUAGGAGAAAAGAAGCUUUGUGAAUUGAAACCAGGAGUUUGGUUUUGUAUAUGUAAUAUUUAAUAGUCCUUUAGUAUAUCCAAGCAAAUGUAGACAAAGCAAUCUGGAGUUCAUGGAGAAGUUAAAAGCUGAAGGUAAGUAUUUGGGAGUUGUCACUGUGUAGAGGGUAUGUAAAGUUAGAAGACCAAGCAAGAUCUCUUAAGGCAGAAAGUGGAGGAUAGAAUACAGAGGAUAUAUCAAGAAUGAGCCCUACAAGCACAUUAAUUUUUAUAUGAAUAAGAAAGGAGUAGAAACCAGCAAAAGCGAUAGAGAAAUAGUGGCCAGUGAGACGAUAUGCACCAAGAGCAUAAGAUGGUACAGAAUUCAAGUGAAGAAAGUGUUUCAAGAGCAGAAGGUGAUUAACUAUGUCAAAUGCUGCUAAUAAGUAAGAUGUGCACAGAGAAUUUACCACUGGACAUCUUGGUGGAGCAGUGGAGAUAAAAGCUAGAUUGAGAAAGCUUCAAGAGUAUACGGUAAAAAAAAAAAAAAAGUGGAGCUCCAACCCACCUUCAACUCACCACCAUCACCAUCAUUGCCAUCAUUAUGGAAUACCUGUUAUUCCCUUAAUAUUUGUUUGGUGUUCAGGGGUUACAAGCUCAUAUGGCUACAAGAGCCACGCAGCUGAUAGAAAUGAGUGAACUGGCCAGGAGAUAAGUGGCAGCUGAUCCCACUGUAAUUGCCUAAUGGAUUCUUUCUGCCUGCUGCACAGACAAAACCAGUUCACUGAGACUGGUAUUGCAGCAGAGAAAACCUUUCAUUAAUGUGAGGCCAGCCAUGCAGAACAACCAGGGUUAUCACUCCAGUCAAUCUCCCUGAAGACUCAGAGUUUAGGGUUUUUCAAGGAUAGUUUGGUGGGCAGGCAGGGAGGGGUUGGGUGCUGCUGAUUGGUUGGGGGUGCAAUCAUAGGAAUGUGGAAAAUAGUCCUCAUGCACUGAGUUUGUUUCUAGAUGGGAAACACAGGACAGGUGAAGUCAUGAGUAAUGAGUCUGGGUGGGCUCAGUCAGUUGCCAGAAUGUAAAAGUCUGAAAGACAUCUCAAAAGACCAAUUUUAGGUUCUACAAUAGUGGUGUUACCUACAGAAGCAAUUGGGGAAGUCACAAAUCUUGUGACCUCUGACCACAUGACUCCUGAACAAUAAGGGAUUAUAGAAACUAUAUCUACAUUUUAGCAGAAUUCAGGUCCCUCCCAUAAUCUUAAUCUUAUGGCUUUUCAUUAGCCUUACAAAGGCAGUUUCAGCCCCCAAACAACAAGGGAAUUCGUUUUAGAGAGGGACUGUUAUCAUCCUUGCUUCAAAGUUAGACUACAAACUAAGUUCCUCCCAUGGUUAGCUUGGCCUACACCUAGGGAUGAGCAAAGACAGCCAGCCUGUGAGGCUAGAAGCAAGAUGAAAUCAGUCACAUUAAACUCCUCUCACUGUCAUAAUCUUUGCAAAAGAAGUUUCACUGGUGUCAAGGUUGGGGCAACAACAGGGAGAGGUGUACCUGUGGGGCAUGGAGGGCACUGCUCUGUCUAAGAAGAAGCCCCUGCUAGGCUUUGGGCAUUGAGGAACAUGGUGCAAGACAGGCCUGUGCAACCACACAUUCUCUUUUGUCAUGGAAACCAAAAAUCCAGAUUUGUAAGUGAAGCUUCCUAACGUUUAAAUGUUUAUAAGCUAUAGGAGGCUAAGGCAGGAGAAUUACUUGAGGCUAGGAGUCCAAGACCAGCCUGGGCAACAUAUAAAUACCCUAUCUCUAAGAAAAUGCUAAAAAUAAAUAAAUAAAUAUUUAUAAAUUAUUUCAAAAAAUCUUUCAGAGCACUAUGUGGUCCAAUACCUCAGGACAGACAAACUUGCCUGCAGACCAAAUCCAACCCAAGAGCCACCCACCAGUAUGCCAUUUCAGACAUAAAAUUGAACCUUUUUCUUAGAAAAAUUGUAAUCUAGUUGGAGCAAUCAUAACUUAGGUACUAUAAUUCCAGGGAAAAACUGAAAAGAUCCCAUUAUCAGUUGAAUUGUGUCCCCCUGAAAAAGAUAGGUUGAAGUCCUCACCCUCUGAAUCUGACUUUAUUCAGAAAUAGGCUUGUUGUAGAUAUAAUUAUUUAAGACAAGGUUAUACUAGAGGAGGGUAGGUCCCUAAUCCAAUAUGAUCUUAUAAAAAUGUCCUUAUAAAAAAACAACCUGUGGGCCAGGCGUGGUAGCUCACGCCUGUAAUCCCAGCACUUUGGGAGGCCAAGGCAGGUGGAUCACAAGAUCAGGGGAUCGAGACCAUCCUGGCUAACAUGGCGAAACUCUGCCUCUACUAAAAAUACAAAAAAAAUUAGCCGGGCGUGGUGGCCUGUAGUCCCAGCUACGCGGGAGGCUGAGGCAGGAGAAUGGCGUGAACCCGGGAGGCAGAGCUUGCAGUGAGCCAAGAUCGCGCCACGGCAAUCCAGCCUCCGUGACAGCGCAAGACUCCAUCUCAAAAAAAAAAAAAAACCUGUGAAUAGACAAGGACACACAAGGAGCGCUCCAUGUGACAAUGAAGGCAGAGAUUGGAGUUACGUAGCCACAAACCAAAGAAUACCAAGCAUUGCCUGCAAACCACCAGAAACUAGAAAAAGACAAGGAAAGAUUCCCCCUACAGGUUUCAGGGGGAGUACAGCCAUGCUGAUGCCUUGAUUUUGGACUUCUAGUUUCCAGAACUGUAAGACAAUCCAUUUCUAUUGUUUCAACCCAGUUUGUGGUACUUUGUUAGAGUAGUCCUAGGAAACUAAUACAGAUCCCAUAAGAGACAAGAAUAUGUCAUUUCUCAACAAAUUGUUCAGUGAACAAAUAUUUAUUGAGCACCUUCUACACCUAGGCAUUUAUCUAAGUCUAGAGGAUAAUCAGCAAGGAAAAAAGACAACAUAUCGCCCUCAUGUAGCUUUCACAUUCUAGUGAAAGGAGAAAGGCAAGAAACAUAAUAAAUAAGUAAAUUAUACAGUGUGUUAGAUGGCGGAAAGUGUUAUGGAAAAAAAAAGGGUCUGCCACAGUAGAGGGGCUGCAGUUUUCAGAAGGGCAGAGAGACAGAAGUCAUCACUGAGAAAACGACAACUGAGCAAAGACCGAAAGGACAUGAGGGAAGGAUCCAGGGGCAGCCAGGGGAAAAGCAUGCCAGGAAAAGGGAAGAGCCAGUGCAAAGGCCCUGGGGCAGAAGCGUGCCCAUCAUGAUAGAGGAAGGGCAGAAGAGAGUGUGACUUGAACAUGGUGAGAAAGAGGUAGGAAGCAGACACCUUCAAGGUCAUAAUUAAAGAAAGAAUGAAGAAAGAUCUUCAUUACAAAAGUGUAGGCAGGCUUAAGGCAAACCAGCAAGUAUGAUGACGCACUCCAGGGCUAGAAAUAAAAAGAAACGAUAACAUCCUUAGGCCUGAAGGCACAAAAGGAGAGGUAGCUAGUGGAAUCUAGCAAGAGCUGGCUGCAGCCAGGGCCCAGUGCCAGGGGCUGUGUCUUUGAUAGAGAAACAUAGUUAUGGCCUAGCCAAGGUCAUGAAUGGAAAGGGGCCAGCAGAAUAAAUACUCCAUCUUCUCACCUUCCAUCUUCCCAUGACUGAAUAUAAUUGGAAGCCAAAGAUUGAGAGAGCUUUGUGGAGGAAGCCCAUAGAGGCCAGCCUCCUGGGGGCACAGCACAGGGUAGAGAAGAGUGCAGAGUGGGUUCCAAAGGAUGACUGAAGAUUCGGCAGCAUAGGGAGAUUAGCAGGAGAUGAAGUCAGAGAGGUAACAGGGGCCUGGGUAUGUAGAGCUUGCUAGAUCAUUUUAAGGAUGGUGGCUUUCAUCUGAGUGAAAUGGCAACCAUUGGAGAAUUUUCGGUGGAAGAGUGAUAUGACUUAUGAUUUGAAAGAAUCACUCCAGCUGCUGUGUUGAGAAUAGACAGGGUGGAAAAGGACAAGAGUGAAGCAAGAAGACUGGCAAGAGGCUAUUGCAGUAAUGCAAGCAAAAGUGUGGCUGGACCAGGGGGUUGGCCUAAAGGAAAACAAAACUGAGGCAAACUUAAUAUAAGUAGAGUUUAUUUGAGCCAAGUUUGAGGACUGCAACCCAGAAUUAUAGAUUCAAGUUGCCCUGAAUAUGAGCUUGGAUUAGCCACAAUUACAGGUGGGUUUUUAAAGGAAAAGAAGAAGCAGUUCCUAAGUUAUUUACCAAUAAUUUACAUUAAAAUAACAUAAGCUAUUGAUUGGCUAUACAUUGUUAUUAAAUUCCAGGAAAAUGAAGAUUAUGAGUGAGGCAGCUAGUCAGGAAAAAAAUGCCUUUAAUAACGGACCCAUGGUAUGGGUGCAGGAGACAUUACUGAAGUCCCAUAUUCAUGACUCUGAGCCUGAUAAAUUUUGCAUACCUCGCACAGCUCAGAUUGUUCUGAGCUAUUUUUCUUUUCUUAAAAAUAAUGUUAAACUAAAUUUGGCCUAAGGACGCCUCCAUAUUUGAUUUCUUAUGUUACAAACUAUAACCUAAUUUAGUACAUAAACUAACUGAAACUAACUUGGGUGUAUACUUUUGUAACAAAAGCUGAGUCUCAGCCCAUCACAGCAGCAGAGCUUCAGUCAAUUAAAGGUGGCCAACUGAUCAAACUAUGAUCAAAUAAGGCAAAUACUGAGCUGUAACCAAUCAAGCAGCCUCUGUACCUCACUUCUGUUUUCUGUCUGUAAAUGCUGCCUGCUCAAGUUGCAGCCUGGAGCUCUCUGAAACUGUUCUUGUUCUGGUGGGGGUGGGGCAAGGGUGGGGGUGCCCAAUUUGUGAAUCAUUCUUUGCUCAAUUAAAUGCUCUUAAGUUUAAUUUUUCUAAAGUUUUUUCUUUUAACAGUAGAAGCAGUGGAGGUGAUGAGAAGUGGUGAGAUUCUGGUUUAUUUUGCAGGUUGACGCAGAAUUAACUGUUGCAUGAGAUGUGGGGUAUGAGAGAAGGCCUGAGUACCUAGAAGGAUUGGGAUGCCAUGAACUGACAGAGGUUGUGUAAUAGUGUGAUAUAAUAAGAAAUACAUGGUGGGCAUGGUGGCUCAAGCCUGUAAUCCCAGCACCUUGGCCACCACUGCAGGACCAUUGCUUGAGUUCAGGAGUUUGAGACCAACCUGGACAAUAUAGUGAGACCUCACCUCAAAAAAAAAAAAAGAAGAAGAAGAGGAAAUACAUAUUUGAUCUCUGCCCCUGGUUCUUGAGACAGAGCUCCUAAAACUUUUAUGAUUCCCUAAGUGACAAGAUCACCUGAUGCAGAGCUCCUAAAUCCCUUGGAAUUUCCUGGAGGACAGGAGCAUCUUUUGUUCUAAAGGUCACUCUUGGUGGACUCCUCAAUAGCCUCAUGAUGGGGGCUGGUAGCCAGGGGAAUCAACCGUGUGAUUACAGUAGAACUUUCAAACCCCACUGACCUGACCUCUGGGGAAGAGAGGGGGUGCUAAAGAUGAGCUAAUCACCAAUGGUCAAUGAUUUAAUCAGUCAUGCUACACAAUGAAGCCUCUAUAAAACCCCAAAAGGACAGGGUUCAGAGAGCUUCCUGGUUGAUGAAUCAGUAGAGGUGCUGGGAGGAUGGCACACCUGGAGAGGGCAUGGCACUCUGUGCCCCUUCCCACAUACCUUACAUUAUGCCUCUCUUCCAUCUGGCGUUCAUCCACAUCCUUUUGUAAUAUCCUUUAUAAUAAAUGGGUAAAUGUAAGUCAAGUGUUAGUCUGAGUUCUGUGAGAUGCUCUAACAAAUUAAUCAAACACAAAGAAAGGAUCAUGGGAACCCUUGAUUUAUAGCUAGCUGGUCAGAAAUACAGAUCACAACCAGGGGCUUGUGACUGACACCUGAAGUGGAGGGCAAUUUUGUGGGACUGGGCUCUUAAACCGUGGGAUCUGACACUAUCUUCAGGUAGAUGGUGUCAUAACUGAACUGAAUUAUAGGACACCCAGUUGGUGUCUGCUGGAGAAUUGCUUGGUAUGUGAGGAAAAAAACAGACACAUUUUGGUGAGAAGCAAUAAAAUACUCUACAUGCUGUGUUGAGUGUUGUAUCAUGUGCCCCAGUAGGAAUAACAGCUUGUUUUUCCUAUUGUUACAAUUGGCACUGGAUCUAUCUCAUAUAGGGGACAGGAGGAGGCCUGCCAGGAGAGCAGGCUUGGCUGAGUGGGUAGGUGAGGUGGAACUGUUCACAAGUCUGGUAUUUAGGGGAAAGGUCUCUAUGGAAAAUACAAACUUGGGAACCAUCAGUAUAUAGAUAUAUAUUCGAUAUGAAAAUGAAGUUAACACUUCUCAACAGGAAAAACAAAGUUUUUUGGAGGAGGUGGCAUGUGAUUGGGGACCUUGAAAGAUGGGAUUUUCAUAGUCAGAAAUAGGUGGGAAGACAAUCCCAGAUUAAGAAAGAGCCAUUAUCAAUGCUAGGAUUCACAUUGAGGCUAGUUUAGGGAACAUUUUUUCAGUUUGAAUGAGCAGAGGACUGAUUUUGGAGGGAGCCAGUGGCAGAAAUAUGAGCAGAAUAUUAGCCUUGUGACUUGCUGUACACUCAUGCAUCUAUCUACGAAUUCAUCAGACACCACUGGUUACCUUAAAAGCUGUGUUUGUUGUGGACAUUAACAACAACAAUCAUAAAUGCAUAUUGAGCCCUUAUCAUGUGCUCAUGUGAAAAUUCCUCACUUAAUAUUCACCCCCAACUAAAAAUAAGGAAAGUAAGAGUCUGAGUGAUUUUCUCCAGUUCUGUCUGCCGGUCAGAUUGGAACAAAGGCAGUGUGACCCCAGAGCCUUUGCCUUACCACUCAGCUCUACUUCUUUGUCAGAAACACCAAACCAGGCAUCUGUGGUGGUGGGGCCUGGCAGCCACCAGAAAUAUAGACUACUAAGUCUUGGGCAAGGCUUCCUCCUGACUUUCUUCUGUAUGAGAUGUGAAACCUGCCCUCUCCAGGGGUCAGCUGAGGAACCAGCAGUGGUAGCUCCAGGAAAGAAGGUAGGGCUGCUGACCAGGGCUUAGGUCACCAAGCUGCUGACUCUGACUCACCUGGGAAAGCUGACUGGCUUUUAAAGCAUCCACUCCCCAUUUUGUGUCUCCUAUGGGCAAACCUGAGGUCAAGGGCAGAAAACCAAAGCAUCACCCUGGAAGGUUAGCACCGAAAGUGCCCUUGAACAGUAAUGUGUCUAUUCCUCUACUCCUUAUCUCCUCCAAACCCAUUUAAGACCAUAGAGGCUAUGUUCCUUGUCCUACAUUGUCUUGGAAGGUUUGUGACAAAUCCUAUACUAGAGCUCAAAUAUGAGGACUUUCAUGUUCAGUGUGCUUCCACAAAAGAUGCUAACAUGAAUUAGUUCCUGGUUUGAAAGGAAUAGUAUCAACAACAAAAAGGGCGUCCACUCAGAGACCCCAUCUGAAGGUCACCAACAUCAAAGACCAAAGGUAGAUAAAUUCACGAAGAUGGGGAGAAACCAGCUCAAAAAGCCUGAAAAUUCCAAAAACCAGAAUGCCUCUUCUACUCCAAAGGUUCACAACUCCUCACCAGCAAGGGAACAAAACUGGACAGAGAAUGAGUUUGACGAAUUGACAGAAGUAGGCUUCAGAAGGUGGGUAAUAACAAACUCCUCCGAGCUAAAGGAGCAUGCUCUAACCCAAUGCAGGGAAGCUAGGAACCUUGAAAAAAGGUUAGACAAAAUGCUAACUAGAAUAACCAGUUUAGAGAAGAAUAUAAAUGACCUGAUGCAGCUGAAAAACACAUGAAUUAGUUCCUGUUUUAAAAUUAGGUUUCCUGGUGAGCAGGCUGGAAUAGAAUCAAGUGUGUGUGUGUGCAUGCAUGUGUGUGUGUGUGUAUCUGUGUGUGUGCCAAGUUCAUGAUACAAGCCCAGGACUGACACUCCCUACCACUCCCAGGGAAAGGAAUUUCUCCUAAGUUCAACUUGUCUUUCAGGAAAAUUUAGAUUUUAAGCAUCUGACCCAGUAAAUGGGACAGGAAAGAGGAGCCCUGCCAUCCAGUGAGUCCUGCUCAGGUGUCUUUCCUGGAGAAACACUCACACCUGUGUAGCAAGAGGCCUGUGCAAGAAAGCCAACAGCAGCAUCACAAGAAAUAGUGAGGAGUGGAAGGAACUCAAAUGCCCAUCAAUACAGGAGUGAUUAUCCAGCAGUUAAAAUGAAUGAAGUGGGUCUUCACAGAGUCAAGGAAAGAUCCCUAAGACAUUAUUACACAAGGAAGAAGGAGAAGAAAAGAAAGUUGGCAAUACAAUGCAUACAAUAUGAUCCCAUUUGUGAAAAAGAAAGAACAUCCCAACCAUAUGUGUGUAUGUAGAAAGUAGAUCCUCUUGCCUGAUAAUUUCAAUGGAUUUAAUUCCACAAUUGUGCACCGAGUGCCCUCUUUGUGCAGGCCUUGUAAUCCAUAAGGAAAUCAUCUAGCAGGGAGAAGUGUAGGCAACAUCCCUGCCCUCUAGUAGCUGGAUAAGGGAGGGGUAAAUCAUGCCUGAGCCAGCAGAGCAUACCUGAGCCCCCAGAGCCAUAACCAACCCCAUACCUCACCCCUCAGAAUCAGUGUCAGCCCAGGAGAGUAGCCACAACCCCAGCAUUCAAGCCCAUGUGUCACCAAGCCCCUUGGGGAUCCAGAGAUGGUCUCACCAGAGCAGCUGCACCUCUGAUGCCUGAGCAGAUGUGGUGCCCUACCCCCUAGGGAAACAGAGUCUUGGCUGUUCUAUUUCACCCUACCCUUUGGGCUGUGCAACUGCAGAGCUCCAUCUUCUCGGAUCUGAACCAGCCCUCUGGAGUCUGAGCUGCUGAGGUGUUGCACCUCCCCAAGGUAUUGAGCUAUCAUUGCCCUGCUCCCCACCUCCUAGAGCCCAAGCCACAGCUGUGCACCUCCAUUCUAGGAAUUCUCUGCCACUGCACCUGGACUUACACACCCUGGGCCACUGUCGUGUUCCACCUCUGCAGAGUCCAGAGUCACCAUGAUGUGCUACUUCCUCUCCUGAUGCCUGAGUUGCCACUGUACCCUAUCGGCUCUAGGCCCAAGUUUCUGGAACACUCCUUCCUCCCCAGAGCCAUACCAGUGCUGUGCCCUGACCCCCAGCAUCAGAGUCACAGCUACACACCUGACCCCUGGGCCCAAGCUACUGGGGAGUGGCUCAGAGUAACAGUCCUCUGUUUAGUGCAGGAGCUUCAUCCACUUGUCACAGAGAGUGAACACCCACCUUACAGGUUCUACAACAGUACAACAAGACAUUGAAGCCAGGACCCAAACUCCACAGCUACUCCAAGCAGCUGUAGUCUGGAACACAGAACCACUGUGGCUGCCUGUGGCCUGUGUCAGACCCAACACCAAGAGGGAUCCCCUCAGCUACUUCUUCCCACUGUGGGAAAAAAAAAAACAAGAGGACCCCCCCCGCAAAGACUUUUCCACUGAGAGCUCUAACAACCGACCCUGCCACCACUGCUGCUACAAACUCUUGGAGCCUCAGCCACUGAUUCAGCUGCAGUUAUCAAUGAUGUCAAUCACAACUGAAAAAAACCUCAUGGAGACUGCUCUACUGCACCCACCUGGAACCAGAGCCAACACACAACCAACCUAGGACUCAUAUGCCAGUAAAAAUCUUUCCCUAUGAAAGCUACUCUAAAAUUGGAGAUGACUAUUUCAUCAGAGGCACAGACAUCAACACAGGGACACAAGAAGCAUGGAAAAGUAAGAAAAUAUGACAUGAUCAAAGGAACAUAAUUCUCCAUUAACUGACCCUAAAGAAAUUAAACUUCACAAAUUUCCCAAAAAGUAAUCAAAACAAUGAUCUUAAGGAAACUCAGUGAGAUACAAUAGAAUACAGAUAGAAAAUUCAAUGAAAUCAGGAGAACAACUCAUGAUCUGACUGACAAAUUCAACAAAAAGAUAGAUAUAAUUUAAAAAGAACCAAACAGAAAUCUUGGAGCUGAAGAAUUCAAUGUAUGAAAUAAAAAAAAAAAUACAGUUGAGAACUUCAACAGAAUAGAUCAAGCAGAAGAAAACGUCUCUGAACUUAAAGAUAAGCCUCUUGAGAGAAGAAUCAAAUAGACGCAAUAAAAAAUAAUAAAUGGGAUAUCACCACCGAUCCCACAGAAAUACAAACUACCAUCAGAGAAUGCUAUAAACACCUCUACGCAAAUAAACUAGAAAAUCUAGAAGAAAUGGAUACAUUCCUCGACACAUACACCCUCCCAAGACUAAACCAGGAAGAAGUCGAAUCUCUGAAUAGACCAAUAACAGGCUCUGAAAUUGAGGCAAUAAUUAAUAGCUUACCAACCAAAAAAAGUCCAGGACCAGACGGAUUCACAGCCAAAUUCUACCAGAGGUACAAAGGGGAGCUGGUACCAUUCCUUCUGAAACUAUUCCAAUCAAUAAAAAAAGAGAGAAUCCUCCCUAACUCAUUUUAUGAGGCCAGCAUCAUACUGAUACCAAAGCCUGGCAGAGACACAACAAAAAAAGAGAAUUUUAGACCAAUAUCCCCGAUGAGCAUCGAUGAAAAAAUCCUCAAUAAAAUACUGGCAAAACGAAUCCAGCAGCACAUCAAAAAGCUUAUCCACCAUGAUCAAGUGGGCUUCAUCCCUGGGAUGCAAGGCUGGUUCAACAUAUGCAAAUCAAUAAACAUAAUCCAGCAUAUAAACAGAACCAACGACAAAAACCACAUGAUUAUCUCAAUAGAUGCAGAAAAGGCCUUUGACAAAAUUCAACAACACUUCAUGCUAAAAACUCUCAAUAAAUUAGGUAUUGAUGGGACGUAUCUCAAAAUAAUAAGAGCUAUCUAUGACAAACCAGCAGCCAAUAUCAUACUGAAUGGGCACAAACUGGAAGCAUUCCCUUUGAAAACUGGCACAAGACAGGGAUGCGCUCUCUCACCACUCCUAUUCAACAUAAUGUUGGAAGUUCUGGCCAGGAAAAUCAGGCAGGAGAAGGAAAUAAAGGGUAUUCAAUUAGAAAAAGAGGAAGUCAAAUUGUCCCUGUUUGCAGAUGACAUGACUGUAUAUCUAGCAAACCCCAUCGUCUCAGCCCAAAAUCUCCUUAAGCUGAUAAGCAACUUCAGUAAAGUCUCAGGAUAAAAAAUCAAUGUGCAAAAAUCACAAGCAUUCUUAUACACCAAUAACAGACAAACAGAGAGCCAAAUCAUGAGUGAACUCCCAUUCACAAUUGCUUCAAAGAGAAUAAAAUACCUAGGAAUCCAACUCACAAGGGAUGUGAAGGACCUCUUCAAGGAGAACUACAAAGCACUGCUCAAUGAAAUAAAAGAGGAUACAAAGAAAUGGAAGAACAUUCCAUGCUCAGGGGUAGGAAGAAUCAGUAUCGUGAAAAUAGCCAUACUGCCCAAGGUAAUUUAUAGAUUCAAUGCCAUCCUCAUCAAGCUACCAAUGACUUUCUUUACAGAAUUGGAAAAAACUACUUUAAAGUUCAUAUGGAUCCAUAAAAGAGCCCGCAUUGCCAAGUCAUUCCUAAGCCAAAAGUACAAAGCUGCAGGCAUCACACUACCUGACUUCAAACUAUACUACCAGGCUACAGUAACCAAAACAGGAUGGUACUGGUACCAAAACAGAGAAAAAGACCAAUGGAACAGAACAGAGCCCUCAGAAAUAAUGCUGCAUAUCUACAACUAUCUGAUCUUUGACAAACCUGACAAAAAGCAGAAAUGGGGAAAGGAUUCCCUAUUUAAUAAACGGUGCUGAGAAAACUGGCUAGCCAUAUGUAGAAAGCUGAAACUGGAUCCCUUCCUUACACCUUAUACAAAAAUUAAUUCAAGAUGGAUUAAAGACUUAAAUGUUAGACCUAAAACCAUAAAAACCCUAGAAAAAAACCUAGGCAAUACCAUUCAGGACAUAGGCAUAGGCAAGGACUUCUUGUCUAAAACACCAAAAGCAAUGGCAACGAAAGCCAAAAUUGACAAAUGGGAUCUAAUUAAAUUAAAGAGCUUCUGCACAGCAAAAGAAACUACCAUCAGAGUGAACAGGCAACCUACAGAAUGGGAGAAAAUUUUUGCAAUCUACUCAUCUGACAAAGGGCUAAUAUCCAGAAUCUACAAUGAACUCAAACAAAUUUACAAGAAAAAAACAACCCCAUCAACAAGUGGGCG
This 12718-nucleotide long non-coding RNA is filed under the name Homo sapiens (human). RNAcentral's name for it is "non-protein coding SH3TC2-DT:44". The record is from RNAcentral. Lineage: Eukaryota; Metazoa; Chordata; Mammalia; Primates; Hominidae.